Molecule: ribosomal RNA, 253 nt
Filed under: uncultured bacterium
Lineage: Bacteria
Description: partial 16S ribosomal RNA
Rfam family: Bacterial small subunit ribosomal RNA
Source: RNAcentral
UACGAAGGGGGCUAGCGUUGCUCGGAAUCACUGGGCGUAAAGCGCACGUAGGCGGAUUGCUAAGUCAGGGGUGAAAUCCUGGAGCUCAACUCCAGAACUGCCUUUGAUACUGGCGACCUUGAGUCCGGGAGAGGUGAGUGGAACUGCGAGUGUAGAGGUGAAAUUCGUAGAUAUUCGCAAGAACACCAGUGGCGAAGGCGGCUCUCUGGCCCGGUUCUGACGCUGAGGCGCGAAAGCUUGGGUAGCAAACGGG